RNAcentral lists this ribosomal RNA (240 nucleotides) under uncultured Staphylococcus sp. Its description in RNAcentral is "partial 16S ribosomal RNA". It matches the Rfam family "Bacterial small subunit ribosomal RNA", at positions 102 to 334 of the family's 1533-position model. Lineage: Bacteria; Bacillati; Bacillota; Bacilli; Caryophanales; Staphylococcaceae. The record is from RNAcentral.
UGACGGGUGAGUAACACGUGGAUAACCUACCUAUAAGACUGGGAUAACUUCGGGAAACCGGAGCUAAUACCGGAUAAUAUAUUGAACCGCAUGGUUCAAUAGUGAAAGACGGUUUUGCUGUCACUUAUAGAUGGAUCCGCGCCGCAUUAGCUAGUUGGUAAGGUAACGGCUUACCAAGGCAACGAUGCGUAGCCGACCUGAGAGGGUGAUCGGCCACACUGGAACUGAGACACGGUCCAG